This 373-nucleotide ribosomal RNA is filed under the name uncultured bacterium. RNAcentral's name for it is "bacterial SSU rRNA". It matches the Rfam family "Bacterial small subunit ribosomal RNA", at positions 527 to 898 of the family's 1533-position model. The record is from RNAcentral.
GGAAGGGGCAAGCGUUGUUCGGAAUCAUUGGGCGUAAAGGGCGCGUAGGCGGUCGCGUAUGUCUGCUGUGAAAGCGCACGGCUCAACCGUGUGAAGUCGGUAGAAACUGCGGGACUUGAGGCUGGGAGAGGUUGGUGGAAUUCCCUGUGUAGCGGUGAAAUGCGUAGAUAUAGGGGAGAACACUCGUGGCGAAGGCGGCCAGCUGGACCAGCCCUGACGCUGAGGCGCGACAGCGUGGGGAGCAAACAGGAUUAGAUACCCUGGUAGUCCACGCCGUAAACGAUGGGCACUAGGUGUUGGCGGUACUGAUUCCGUCGGCGCCGGCGUUAACGCAGUAAGUGCCCCGCCUGGGGAGUACGGUCGCAAGGCUGAA